This 640-nucleotide ribosomal RNA is filed under the name uncultured bacterium. RNAcentral describes it as "bacterial SSU rRNA". The stretch from base 1 to 535 matches the Rfam family "Bacterial small subunit ribosomal RNA", at positions 338 to 873 of the family's 1533-position model. The record is from RNAcentral.
CCUACGGGAGGCAGCAGUAAGGAAUAUUGGUCAAUGGACGAAAGUCUGAACCAGCCAUGCCGCGUGAAGGAUUAAGGCCCUCUGGGUUGUAAACUUCUUUUAUCUGGGACGAAAAAAGGGUAUUCUUACUCACUUGACGGUACCAGAGGAAUAAGCACCGGCUAACUCCGUGCCAGCAGCCGCGGUAAUACGGAGGGUGCAAGCGUUAUCCGGAUUUACUGGGUUUAAAGGGUGCGUAGGUGGGUCUGUAAGUCAGUGGUGAAAUCUCCGAGCUUAACUCGGAAACUGCCAUUGAUACUAUAGAUCUUGAAUUAUCUGGAGGUAAGCGGAAUAUGUCAUGUAGCGGUGAAAUGCUUAGAUAUGACAUAGAACACCAAUUGCGAAGGCAGCUUACUACGGAUAUAUUGACACUGAGGCACGAAAGCGUGGGGAUCAAACAGGAUUAGAUACCCUGGUAGUCCACGCCCUAAACGAUGGAUACUCGACAUACAGCGAUACACUGUUGGUUGUCUGAGNGAAGACAUAAGUAUCCACCGUCGGAGGUACGUAAGUCGCGAAGAGUAGUUAAACGUUAAAGUUAAGUUAAGUUAGUUACGGCGUUGAGACGUUAGCCGACGGACGACGACGAGGGGAGGAGGAG